RNAcentral lists this ribosomal RNA (414 nucleotides) under uncultured Pseudomonas sp. RNAcentral describes it as "bacterial SSU rRNA". It matches the Rfam family "Bacterial small subunit ribosomal RNA", at positions 971 to 1382 of the family's 1533-position model. Lineage: Bacteria; Pseudomonadati; Pseudomonadota; Gammaproteobacteria; Pseudomonadales; Pseudomonadaceae. The record is from RNAcentral.
UUACCAGGCCUUGACAUGCAGAGAACUUUCCAGAGAUGGAUUGGUGGCCUUCGGGAACGUCUGACACAGGUGCUGCAUGGCUGUCGUCAGCCCGUGUCGUGAGAUGUUGGGUUAAGUCCCGUAACGAGCGCAACCCUUGUCCUUAGUUACCAGCACGUUAUGGUGGGCACUCUAAGGAGACUGCCGGUGACAAACCGGAGGAAGGUGGGGAUGACGUCAAGUCAUCAUGGCCCUUACGGCCUGGGCUACACACGUGCCACAAUGGUCGGUACAAAGGGUUGCCAAGCCGCGAGGUGGAGCUAAUCCCAUGAAACCGAUCGUAGUCCGGAUCGCAGUCUGCAACUCGACUGCGUGAAGUCGGAAUCGCUAGUAAUCGUGAAUCAGAAUGUCACGGUGAAUACGUUCCCGGGCCUU